GCCGAGUUAGCUCAGUUGGUAGAGCAUACCCAUGGUAAGGGUAAGGUCUCGGGUUCAAUUCCCGAACUCGGCU
RNAcentral lists this transfer RNA (73 nucleotides) under Patescibacteria group bacterium. RNAcentral describes it as "Patescibacteria bacterium tRNA". It matches the Rfam family "tRNA". Rfam says of the family: Transfer RNA (tRNA) molecules are approximately 80 nucleotides in length. Their secondary structure includes four short double-helical elements and three loops (D, anti-codon, and T loops). RNAcentral also lists the same sequence under 1 other name. The record is from Rfam by way of RNAcentral.